This 77-nucleotide transfer RNA is filed under the name Chloropicon primus. It matches the Rfam family "tRNA", at positions 5 to 66 of the family's 71-position model. Rfam says of the family: Transfer RNA (tRNA) molecules are approximately 80 nucleotides in length. Their secondary structure includes four short double-helical elements and three loops (D, anti-codon, and T loops). The record is from RNAcentral. Lineage: Eukaryota; Viridiplantae; Chlorophyta; Chloropicophyceae; Chloropicales; Chloropicaceae.
UCGAUGUCCGAGCGGUUAAAGGAGACGGAUUGUAAAUCCGUUGGCUAUGCCUACGCUGGUUCAAAUCCAGCUCGGCC